This is a long non-coding RNA of Gallus gallus (chicken), 502 nucleotides long. Lineage: Eukaryota; Metazoa; Chordata; Aves; Galliformes; Phasianidae. The record is from Ensembl.
CCCGUGCCUGUGCUGAAGGUCAGGUGUAGGUGCUUUCUGACACCUCCAGGAGGAGCCCAGCUGGGGGCUGUUAUAGAUAGCUUGUACUGGGGAUGUGGAGGGCUGUGAUAGCAUUACCUGGAAGGAAGCGAGCACUCUUGGCAGAUAAGGCUGGAAAAGAAUAGCCUCGGACGUAGGAUGUUGCCCAGGAGCACCCAGGACAACCAUCUCUUUGCUCAAGAAACAACAUUACAUCAUUCCAACCGGAAUCUCACCUUGCUUGCUGUUGUUCUGUGUGGCUUACCUGGUGGUGGGGAGAGAAGAGGAGAUGGAGAAAACAAUGCUGCGUGUUAGGAAAUAUGAGACAAAGUGAGUUAGCCGCAAGGAAAGGGGAUUGUGCACGUUAUGGGAUUUGAAGGAUGUUUAUACUAGUGUAUUUGCAUGCAGAGUGUGGAAGAAGAGAGUAAAAGACUAAAGACACCAGCAAGAAGGUUCGAGAAGAGGCAAUUAAACUAAACCAUCC